Molecule: non-coding RNA, 70 nt
Organism: Hysterangium stoloniferum
Lineage: Eukaryota; Fungi; Basidiomycota; Agaricomycetes; Hysterangiales; Hysterangiaceae
Source: the annotation of a GenBank genome assembly
GGUCCAGUAGCUCAGUGGUUUAGAGCACAUAUAAAGCUAGAGAUCCUUGGUUCAAUCCCAGGCUGGGUCA